Molecule: ribosomal RNA, 470 nt
Filed under: uncultured bacterium
Lineage: Bacteria
Description: bacterial SSU rRNA
Rfam family: Bacterial small subunit ribosomal RNA
Source: RNAcentral
ACUCCUACGGGAGGCAGCAGUGCGGAAUUUUAGAUAAUGGAGGGAACUCUGAUCUAGCGACGCCGCGUGCAGGAAGAAGGUCUUCGGAUUGUAAACUGCUGUGGUAAGGGAAAAAUGCUAUGUAGAGUGGAAAGCUACAUAGAGGGAUGGUACCUUACUAGAAAGCCCCGGCUAACUACGUGCCAGCAGCCGCGGUAAUACGUAGGGGGCGAGCGUUACCCGGAAUCACUGGGCGUAAAGGGAGCGUAGGUGGCCUAACAUGUCAACUGUGAAAACCCGGAGCUCAACUCCGGACUUGCAGUUGAAACUGGUAGGCUUGAGGACGGUAGAGGAAGACGGAACUGCCAGUGUAGGGGUAAAAUCCUUAGAUAUUGGCAGGAACGCCGGUGACGAAGGUGGUUUUCUGGGCCGGUUCUGACACUGAUGCUCGAAAGCCAGGGGAGCGGACGGGAUUAGAUACCCUGGUAGUC